CGCUUGAGAGAACUCGGGUGAAGGAACUAGGCAAAAUGGUGCCGUAACUUCGGGAGAAGGCACGCUGACACGUAGGUGAAGUGAUUUACUCAUGGAGCUGAAGUCAGUCGAAGAUACCAGCUGGCUGCAACUGUUUAUUAAAAACACAGCACUGUGCAAACACGAAAGUGGACGUAUACGGUGUGACGCCUGCCCGGUGCCGGAAGGUUAAUUGAUGGGGUCAGCGCAAGCGAAGCUCCUGAUCGAAGCCCCGGUAAACGGCGGCCGUAACUAUAACGGUCCUAAGGUAGCGAAAUUCCUUGUCGGGUAAGUUCCGACCUGCACGAAUGGCGUAAUGAUGGCCAGGCUGUCUCCACCCGAGACUCAGUGAAAUUGAACUCGCUGUGAAGAUGCAGUGUACCCGCGGCAAGACGGAAAGACCCCGUGAACCUUUACUAUAGCUUGACACUGAACAUUGAGCCUUGAUGUGUAGGAUAGGUGGGAGGCUUUGAAGUGUGGACGCCAGUCUGCAUGGAGCCGACCUUGAAAUACCACCCUUUAAUGUUUGAUGUUCUAACGUGGACCCGUGAUCCGGGUUGCGGACAGUGUCUGGUGGGUAGUUUGACUGGGGCGGUCUCCUCCUAAAGAGUAACGGAGGAGCACGAAGGUUGGCUAAUCCUGGUCGGACAUCAGGAGGUUAGUGCAAUGGCAUAAGCCAGCUUGACUGCGAGCGUGACGGCGCGAGCAGGUGCGAAAGCAGGUCAUAGUGAUCCGGUGGUUCUGAAUGGAAGGGCCAUCGCUCAACGGAUAAAAGGUACUCCGGGGAUAACAGGCUGAUACCGCCCAAGAGUUCAUAUCGACGGCGGUGUUUGGCACCUCGAUGUCGGCUCAUCACAUCCUGGGGCUGAAGUAGGUCCCAAGGGUAUGGCUGUUCGCCAUUUAAAGUGGUACGCGAGCUGGGUUUAGAACGUCGUGAGACAGUUCGGUCCCUAUCUGCCGUGGGCGCUGGAGAACUGAGGGGGGCUGCUCCUAGUACGAGAGGACCGGAGUGGACGCAUCACUGGUGUUCGGGUUGUCAUGCCAAUGGCACUGCCCGGUAGCUAAAUGCGGAAGAGAUAAGUGCUGAAAGCAUCUAAGCACGAAACUUGCCCCGAGAUGAGUUCUCCCUGAGACUUUAGGUCUCCUGAAGGAACGUUGAAGACGACGACGUUGAUAGGCCGGGUGUGUAAGCGCAGCGAUGCGUUGAGCUAACCGGUACUAAUGAACCGUGAGGCUUAACCUUACA
Molecule: ribosomal RNA, 1264 nt
Filed under: Salmonella enterica
Lineage: Bacteria; Pseudomonadati; Pseudomonadota; Gammaproteobacteria; Enterobacterales; Enterobacteriaceae
Description: partial 23S ribosomal RNA
Rfam family: Bacterial large subunit ribosomal RNA
Source: RNAcentral